This 474-nucleotide ribosomal RNA is filed under the name uncultured organism. Its description in RNAcentral is "partial 16S ribosomal RNA". It matches the Rfam family "Bacterial small subunit ribosomal RNA", at positions 335 to 800 of the family's 1533-position model. The record is from RNAcentral.
ACUCCUGCGGGAGGCAGCAGUGGGGAAUUUUGGACAAUGGGCGAAAGCCUGAUCCAGCACUGCCGCGUGAGUGAAGAAGGCCUUCGGGUUGUAAAGCUCUUUUGUCAGGGAAGAAACGGUGAAAGCUAAUAUCUUUUGCUAAUGACGGUACCUGAAGAAUAAGCACCGGCUAACUACGUGCCAGCAGCCGCGGUAAUACGUAGGGUGCAAGCGUUAAUCGGAAUUACUGGGCGUAAAGCGUGCGCAGGCGGUUUUGUAAGUCUGAUGUGAAAUCCCCGGGCUCAACCUGGGAAUUGCAUUGGGGACUGCAAGGCUAGAAUCUGGCAGAGGGGGGUAGAAUUCCACGUGUAGCAGUGAAAUGCGUAGAUAUGUGGAGGAACACCGAUGGCGAAGGCAGCCCCCUGGGUCAAGAUUGACGCUCAUGCACGAAAGCGUGGGGAGCAAACAGGAUUAGAUACCCUUGUAGUCCCAUGA